RNAcentral lists this ribosomal RNA (444 nucleotides) under uncultured bacterium. RNAcentral describes it as "bacterial SSU rRNA". It matches the Rfam family "Bacterial small subunit ribosomal RNA", at positions 28 to 488 of the family's 1533-position model. The record is from RNAcentral.
GAUGAACGCUAGCGGCAGGCUUAACACAUGCAAGUCGAGGGGCAGCACGAGUAGCAAUACUUGGUGGCGACCGGCGCAAGGGUGCGUAACGCGUGAGCAACAUGCCCGUAUCAGGGGGAUAAUCCAGGGAAACUUGGUCUAAUACCCCAUAGUAAUCAUAUCAGGCAUCUGGUAUGAUUUAAAGCUUAGGUGGAUACGGAUUGGCUCGCGUGACAUUAGCUAGAUGGUAAGGUAACGGCUUACCAUGGCUAUGAUGUCUAGGGGUUCUGAGAGGAAGGUCCCCCACACUGGUACUGAGACACGGUCCAGACUCCUACGGGAGGCAGCAGUGGGGAAUAUUGCACAAUGGGCGAAAGCCUGAUGCAGCAACGCCGCGUGAGCGAUGAAGGCCUUCGGGUCGUAAGCUCUGUCCUAUGGGAAGAUAAUGACGGUACCAUAGGAGGA